GAUGAACGCUAGCUACAGGCUUAACACAUGCAAGUCGCGGGGCAGCAUGGGGGUUGCUUGCAAUCCCCGAUGGCGACCGGCGCACGGGUGAGUAACGCGUAUCCAACCUGCCCUUCACCACGGGAUAACCCGGCGAAAGUCGGACUAAUACCGUAUGUUGUCCAUUGACGGCAUCCGAUUUGGACGAAAGGCUUGGCGGUGAGGGAUGGGGAUGCGUCCGAUUAGCCGGACGGCGGGGUAACGGCCCACCGUGGCUACGAUCGGUAGGGGUUCUGAGAGGAAGGUCCCCCACACUGGAACUGAGACACGGUCCAGACUCCUACGGGAGGCAGCAGUGAGGAAUAUUGGUCAAUGGGCGUAAGCCUGAACCAGCCAAGUAGCGUGCAGGAUGACGGCCCUAUGGGUUGUAAACUGCUUUUAUGCGGGGAUAAAGUGGCCCACGGGUGGGCUUUUGCAGGUACCGCAUGAAUAAGGACCGGCUAAUUCCGUG
This 490-nucleotide ribosomal RNA is filed under the name uncultured bacterium. RNAcentral's name for it is "partial 16S ribosomal RNA". It matches the Rfam family "Bacterial small subunit ribosomal RNA", at positions 28 to 507 of the family's 1533-position model. The record is from RNAcentral.